CACACUGAGACACUAGGAACACACUGGGAGACAUGGAGACACUGAAACAUUUGGGGACACUAAGACACUAGGGACACAGACACCGGGAGACUAGGGGACACCUGGAGACUAGGGGACACUGGGAGACUAGGGGACACUGGCUGGGAGACAGACACUUGGGGAGACAUGGGGACACUAGGCACACUGAGAGACAUGGGACACAGACACUGGGAG
Pelobates cultripes (western spadefoot toad) is the source of this 213-nucleotide non-coding RNA. The record is from the annotation of a GenBank genome assembly. Lineage: Eukaryota; Metazoa; Chordata; Amphibia; Anura; Pelobatidae.